UACCUGAUUGAUUCUGUCAGCGCGAUAUGCUCAAGUAAAAGAUUAAGCCAUGCAUGCUUUGAUUCAUAAAUGAAAUUGCGUACGGCUCAUUAGAGCAGAUAUCACCUUUCUCGGAAUCCUGAAAAGGAUAACUGCGGAAAUUCUGGAGCUAAUACAUGCGACUAUACUCCAACGCAAGGCGGGGGUGCAAUU
This 192-nucleotide non-coding RNA is filed under the name Caenorhabditis japonica. RNAcentral's name for it is "Eukaryotic small subunit ribosomal RNA". It matches the Rfam family "Eukaryotic small subunit ribosomal RNA", at positions 1 to 208 of the family's 1831-position model. Lineage: Eukaryota; Metazoa; Nematoda; Chromadorea; Rhabditida; Rhabditidae. The record is from Rfam by way of RNAcentral.